Harmonia axyridis is the source of this 1327-nucleotide RNA transcript. RefSeq lists it as uncharacterized. Lineage: Eukaryota; Metazoa; Arthropoda; Insecta; Coleoptera; Coccinellidae. The transcript has 2 exons. The record is from RefSeq and is a predicted model, not a curated record.
CUACGGAAUACGAUAAAAAUUUGAAGCCUUUUUUGCUUUUUGCGCAUGCAUUUGCAGGUUGCGACACUACAAGUGCAAUUUUUAAAAAAGGAAAAAAAAAUAUAAUAUCUUUAUUGAAAAAGAAACCUGAUUUGCAAGCUCUAAUUUCUGUUUUCUAUGAGUCUAAUCGUUCAAUUGAGGAAUUAUACGCAGUAUCUGAAAAAAUUAUAUUCCAUCUCUAUGGUCAAAGUAUUACAGAUGAACUGACACUUGGUGAAUUAAGAUAUAGGAUAUUUUCAUUAUCGGCUGCUGCUUUUAAAAAAGAAGUUAUCUUAGCUUCUUUACCACCGACUGAAUCAGCCCUACGAGAACAUACAAAACGAGUGUAUUAUCAAAUUCAACAGUGGUUAGGCAACAAUCUAAAUCCGGACGAUUGGGGUUGGAGAAGAACCUUAUUUAUGAUGAUACCUAUCAUGUCAAACGCGGAACCAGCACCAAAGGAGUUAAUAGAUAAAGUAAGUUACAAUUCACACCAACUUAUCUUAUUUUAGUGUUAUCCAAUAGUAAUAAUAAAUUAUUCAUUUUGCAUUUUAUUUUAACAGGUUGCUUGUAGCUGUAAAACGAAUUGUUUAUCAGCUCGAUGUGGUUGCAAAAAAAGUGGUUUAAAAUGCAAUAAAUUUUGUAAAAGUUGCCAAGGCCAAAGCUGUGAUAACGCUUCUGCAAGAUCGUUUAAUCUUGAGGAUGAUGAAAAUGAAGAUAAAGAAGAUGAAGAAAGAGAUGAUAGUGAUGAUGAAAAUGAUGAUGAUGGAAAUGUUUAUGAGGAUGAAAAUGAUGGUGAAGAAGAAACUACUGUCGAAGACGGAGAACAAGAAAAUGAAGCUAUAUGUACAGGACGUAAAACUGUUAAAAACACUCGUUCAAAAGUAUCCACACAAAAGAUUUUUUGUGGUUGUAGAACCAAUUGUGCAUCAGCAAGAUGUAGUUGUAGAAAAAGUUCUCUCAAAUGUAAUGAAUUAUGCAAGUUUUGUCAUGGUGAUACAUGCAAUAACAGUAUAAAUGCAGGCGUUGAUACUAAUGAAGAUAGUGAAUAUGAGACACAUACAAAAGCUAACGAUAAAGACGAAGAAACACCUACUGAAGAAGAAAACGAAGGAAGCUCAACUGUUAGAGACAGCAGUCCACUUGAUGAAAUUUAUAUUAACUUUGAAAAAUUUUAAUAUAAUUUUUGGAAUUGCAAAAUCUAUAUUUUUUUAUUUAUUAUAUAAUUAGAGAAUCAAUUACUCUUAGGAAGUUUCUUCAAAUUUUUUUAAUUGUAAUACAAUUUUGUAAUCUAUUAAAAAAAAAAAAU